UACAGGGGGGGCAAGCGUUGUUCGGAAUUACUGGGCGUAAAGGGCUCGUAGGUGGCCAACUAAGUCAGACGUGAAAUCCCUCAGCUUAACUGGGGAACUGCGUCUGAUACUGGAUGGCUUGAGUUUGGGAGAGGGAUGCGGAAUUCCAGGUGUAGCGGUGAAAUGCGUUGAUAUCAUCAGGAACACCGGUGGCGAAGGCGGCUUUCUGGGUCUUACCUGACGCUGAGGAACGAAAGCGUGGGGAGCGAACAGG
Molecule: ribosomal RNA, 253 nt
Filed under: uncultured bacterium
Lineage: Bacteria
Description: partial 16S ribosomal RNA
Rfam family: Bacterial small subunit ribosomal RNA
Source: RNAcentral